RNAcentral lists this ribosomal RNA (253 nucleotides) under uncultured bacterium. Its description in RNAcentral is "partial 16S ribosomal RNA". It matches the Rfam family "Bacterial small subunit ribosomal RNA", at positions 524 to 776 of the family's 1533-position model. The record is from RNAcentral.
UACAGAGGUCUCAAGCGUUGUUCGGAUUCAUUGGGCGUAAAGGGCGCGUAGGCGGCGGGGUAAGUCGGGUGUGAAAUCUCAGAGCUCAACUCUGAAACUGCACUCGAUACUGCCGUGCUUGAGGACUGGAGAGGAGACUGGAAUUUACGGUGUAGCGGUGAAAUGCGUAGAUAUCGUAAGGAAGACCAGUGGCGAAGGCGGGUCUCUGGACAGUUCCUGACGCUGCGGCACGAAGGCCAGGGGAGCAAACGGG